UACGAGGAGUUAGUAGUACUAUGGCUCAGGACGAACGCUGGCGGCGUGCUUAACACAUGCAAGUCGAGCGAUGAAGCGUCCUUCGGGGAGUGGAUUAGCGGCGGACGGGUGAGUAACACGUGGGUAACCUGCCUCAUAGAGGGGAAUAGCCUUUCGAAAGGAAGAUUAAUACCGCAUAAGAUUGUAGUACCGCAUGGUACAGCAAUUAAAGGAGUAAUCCGCUAUGAGAUGGACCCGCGUCGCAUUAGCUAGUUGGUGAGGUAACGGCUCACCAAGGCGACGAUGCGUAGCCGACCUGAGAGGGUGAUCGGCCACAUUGGGACUGAGGCACGGCCCAGACUCCUACGGGAGGCAGCAGUGGGGAAUAUUGCACAAUGGGGGAAACCCUGAUGCAAGCAACGCCGCGUGAGUGAUGACGGUCUUCGGAUUGUAAAGCUCUGUCUUUAGGGACGAUAAUGACGGUACCUAAGGAGGAAGCCACGGCUAACUACGUGCCAGCCGCAGC
This 505-nucleotide ribosomal RNA is filed under the name uncultured bacterium. RNAcentral's name for it is "bacterial SSU rRNA". It matches the Rfam family "Bacterial small subunit ribosomal RNA", at positions 1 to 518 of the family's 1533-position model. The record is from RNAcentral.